Molecule: long non-coding RNA, 818 nt
Organism: Panicum hallii
Lineage: Eukaryota; Viridiplantae; Streptophyta; Magnoliopsida; Poales; Poaceae
Exons: 3
Source: RefSeq, a predicted model, not a curated record
CCCGCGCUCUCUGCGCCCCCGACACCUCCAACGACCUCCGCCCGCCUGCCUCCGCGCCGACGCCUCCCCCGACCUCCGCCCGCCCGCCUCCGCGCCACCCCGCCGGAUGGGCCCCGAUCCCUGCGGCGCCCCGGACCUCCGCCCCUGACGACCGCCCCCGCCCCCCUCCCCCCCCACCCCGACCUCCGUCCGGACCGCGUGGCCCGAUCCGGCGCCGGCCCCUCCCUACACGGUCUGCAAGGAAGUGCCGGCUAGCGGCGAGCUCCCCUCCAGCCCCCCUCCGGCGAGCUCCCGUUCUGUGGCUGCUGGUGCAUUGUCCAUCAAGAUAGGUCAAUUUAUCCUGAGCUGCUCCUUCCUCCCCAAGUCGUGCCAACCAAACACAAUUAUGUUGCUGCAACUAUCUUGUUCUUGAUGUGUUACUACAGAUCCAUGAUGGUAUAUGAUUUUUGUUCUUGAUGUGUUGCUACUGAUCCAUAUUGAUGUAAAAUGUGACUGAUGAGCAGUAGAAGAGAUAUAUAUUGUUGCUCUGCGAGUGGGCAGGAGCGGGAGGGAUUGGAUUAAUUAAUUUCUCGGCAAAGGAUUAUCACUGCCGGCCCGUAACAUGGACCGGCGGUGAUAUACACAUUAUCACUGCCGGUCCGUGUUAUGGGCCGGUGGUGAUAAUCCAUUUUCACUGCUGAUAUUUCACCACCGGCACGCAAAACCGACGGUGAAAAUAGGUUUAGGGCCGGCAGUGAAAAUCGAUCUGUAGUAGUGAUUUAUAACCAUAUUAGUUACUUUGUUUUACUUUACAUAUUGUUUAUCAAUGUUUUUGCUUA